CCUACGGGGGGCAGCAGUGGGGAAUAUUGGACAAUGGGGGGAACCCUGAUCCAGCCAUGCCGCGGGUGUGAAGAAGGCCCUCGGGUUGUAAAGCACUUUCAGUGAGGAAGAACGCCUGGUGGUUAAUACCCAUCAGGAAAGACAUCACUCACAGAAGAAGCACCGGCUAACUCCGUGCCAGCAGCCGCGGUAAUACGGAGGGUGCGAGCGUUAAUCGGAAUUACUGGGCGUAAAGCGCGCGUAGGUGGCUUGAUAAGCCGGUUGUGAAAGCCCCGGGCUCAACCUGGGAACGGCAUCCGGAACUGUCAAGCUAGAGUGCAGGAGAGGAAGGUAGAAUUCCCGGUGUAGCGGUGAAAUGCGUAGAGAUCGGGAGGAAUACCAGUGGCGAAGGCGGCCUUCUGGACUGACACUGACACUGAGGUGCGAAAGCGUGGGUAGCAAACAGGAUUAGAUACCCUGGUAGUC
Molecule: ribosomal RNA, 465 nt
Filed under: Vreelandella stevensii
Lineage: Bacteria; Pseudomonadati; Pseudomonadota; Gammaproteobacteria; Oceanospirillales; Halomonadaceae
Description: partial 16S ribosomal RNA
Rfam family: Bacterial small subunit ribosomal RNA
Source: RNAcentral